Meleagris gallopavo (turkey) is the source of this 352-nucleotide non-coding RNA. The record is from RefSeq and is a predicted model, not a curated record. NCBI's taxonomy places the organism in Eukaryota, Metazoa, Chordata, Aves, Galliformes, Phasianidae.
CAACCUGAAACAGUGACUGAGCACCUGGUGGGAAGGCAGGGCCAACCCAGGGGAGCUCAGGUGCAUGCAAUUAACCAGAAGGGGUGAAGCCAAGAUCCACUCCUUGCCAGAUCUCAUUUAAGGGUUGGCAGUGGAGGUGAAAGUACCUCUCUGGAGAUCCCUGCCUACUGGAGGUCUUUCAAAGGUCGUAUAUAUGCUUCUCCUGCGAGAAAUACAUACAGAAACUUGAAUCAGACCCAGCGCUCUCAAAGAUCCUUAAGAUGAGACACGAACAGAUUUGUCCAGGGAACAAGUAGCAACAAUGGGUCUCCGAAUACAGACGUCCAGACCCGUGAUUGAAGCAGAAUGUAAU